AUAUAUGCAUAUGUAUCAUGUACAAUUUCAUUCACCAAUUGUUCUAUCAAGCAAGAUAGCAAAAUUAACGGUUUAUCACAAACCGUCACAAACAAGGGUUUCACAUACCACACAAUCACACAUAUAUACACAAAGAUAUGAGCAAUUAUAUACACCGCCAAGUCUUCACUGUUCUUGGUGGUACAAAGAAAUAACUAUCGGAGUACUCAGUAAGGGGUAUCACUCAGUAUCCCUCUUUGCACACCUUUGAAUUUCUAGGAAAUUGUGGGCACUACGUAUCGCCGUCCCCACUUUGCACAUGCAUGGUAGUAAUUAUCACAACCUUUAUCAUUAAACCGACAUUUGUACUUCCC
RNAcentral lists this long non-coding RNA (353 nucleotides) under Theobroma cacao (cacao). RNAcentral describes it as "long non-coding RNA (TCAC_LNC001059)". The record is from RNAcentral. Lineage: Eukaryota; Viridiplantae; Streptophyta; Magnoliopsida; Malvales; Malvaceae.